GAUGAACGCUAGCGGCAGGCCUAACACAUGCAAGUCGAGGGGUAGAGGAAGCUUGCUUCCUUGAGACCGGCGCACGGGUGCGUAACGCGUAUGCAAUCUACCUUAUACAGGGGAAUAGCCCAGAGAAAUUUGGAUUAAUGCCCCAUAGUGUUAUUGAAUCGCAUGGUUUAAUAACUAAAGUUCCAACGGUAUAAGAUGGGCAUGCGUCCUAUUAGCUAGAUGGUGAGGUAACGGCUCACCAUGGCUACGAUAGGUAGGGGGCCUGAGAGGGUAGUCCCCCACACUGGUACUGAGACACGGACCAGACUCCUACGGGAGGCAGCAGUGAGGAAUAUUGGUCAAUGGGCGCAAGCCUGAACCAGCCAUGCCGCGUGAAGGAAGAAGGUUCUAUGGAUUGUAAACUUCUUUUAUUUAGGAAGAUAAUGACGGUACUAUAUGAAUAAGCACCGGCUAACUCCGUG
This 461-nucleotide ribosomal RNA is filed under the name uncultured bacterium. RNAcentral describes it as "bacterial SSU rRNA". It matches the Rfam family "Bacterial small subunit ribosomal RNA", at positions 28 to 507 of the family's 1533-position model. The record is from RNAcentral.